AGUCUGGUGCCAGCAGCCGCGGUAAUUCCAGCUCCAAUAGCGUAUAUUAAAAUUGUUGCAGUUAAAACGCUCGUAGUUGAAUUUCAAAGAAUCGAUAUUUUAUUGCAACUAUUCUAGGGGAACUAUUUUAGCUUUUCGCUUUAAUACGCUUCCUCUAUUAUUAUGUUCUUUAAAUAACAAAGAUUCUUUUUAAAAUCCCCACUUUUGCUUUUGCUUUUUGGGGAUUUUGUUACUUUGAGUAAAUUAGAGUGUUCAAAGCAAACAGUUAAAGCAUUUACUGUGUUUGAAUACUAUAGCAUGGAAUAACAAAAUUGAACAAGCUAAAAUUUUUUGUUCUUUUUUCUUAUUUUGGCUUAGUUACGAUUAAUAGGAGUAGCUUGGGGACAUUCGUAUUCAGAUGUCAGAGGUGAAAUUCUUAGAUUUUCUGGAGACGAACAACUGCGAAAGCAUUUGUCUAAAAUACUUCCAUUAAUCAAGAACGAAAGUUAAGGGAGUGAAGACGAUCAGAUACCGUCGUAAUCUUAACCAUAAACUAUGCCGACUAGGUGUUGGAUGAAAGUGUUAAAAAUAAAAGUCAUCUUUCGAGGUGACUUUUAGAUUGCUUCCUUCAGUACCUUAUGAGAAAUCAAAGUCUUUGGGUUCUGGGGCGAGUAUUCGCGCAAGCGAGAAAGUUAAAAGAAUUGACGGAAGGGCACCACCAGGCGUGGAGCUUGCGGCUUAAUUUGACUCAACACGGGGAAACUCACUAGUUUAAGACAAGAGUAGGAUUGACAGAUUAAUAGCUCUUUCUUGAUUUCUUGGAUGGUGAUGCAUGGCCGUUUUUAGUUCGUGAAUAUGAUUUGUCUGGUUAAUUCCGAUAACGAACGAGAUCUUAACCUGCUAAUUAGCGGCGAGUACACUAUAUUCUUAUUUGAAAUUGAACAUAGGUAACUAUACAUUUAUUCAGUAAUCAAAUUAGGAUAUUUUUAUUAAAAUAUCCUUUUCACUGUUCUACUAAUAAUUUGUUUUUUACUCUAUUUCUCUCUUCUUUUAAGAAUGUACUUGCUUGAUUGAAAAGCUUCUUAGAGGAACAUUGUGUGUCUAACACAAGGAAGUUUAAGGCAACAACAGGUCUGUGAUGUCCUUAGAUGAACUAGGCUGCACGCGUGCUACACUGAUAUAUAUAACGAGUUUUUAAAAAUAUGCUUAUAUUUGUAUCUUUGAUGCUUAUAUUUUGCAUACUUUUCCUCCGCCGAAAGGCGUAGGUAAUCUUUAUCAAUAUAUAUCGUGAUGGGGAUAGAUUAUUGCAAUUAUUAAUCUUGAACGAGGAAUGCCUAGUAAGCAUGAUUCAUCAGAUUGUGCUGACUACGUCCCUGCCCUUUGUACACACCGCCCGUCGCUCCUACCGAUUGAAAGAUAUGAUGAAUUGUUUGGACAAGAAAAAUUGAAUUAUAUUCUUUUUUUUCUGGAAAAACCGUAAAUCCUAUCUUUUAAAGGAAGGAGAAGUCGUAACAAGGUUUCCGUAGGUGAACCUGCGGAAG
RNAcentral lists this ribosomal RNA (1520 nucleotides) under Plasmodium falciparum IGH-CR14. Its description in RNAcentral is "SSU rRNA". It matches the Rfam family "Eukaryotic small subunit ribosomal RNA", at positions 558 to 1823 of the family's 1831-position model. Lineage: Eukaryota; Apicomplexa; Aconoidasida; Haemosporida; Plasmodiidae. The record is from RNAcentral.